RNAcentral lists this long non-coding RNA (278 nucleotides) under Cyanistes caeruleus (blue tit). RNAcentral's name for it is "lncRNA (ENSCCEG00000005181.1)". Lineage: Eukaryota; Metazoa; Chordata; Aves; Passeriformes; Paridae. The record is from RNAcentral.
CAUAUUUUGGGGUUUUUUUUCAGAUUUCUCAGGUCACCACAUGAACUGUGACAUAGUUUCUCAAAUGUUGCUAUAGCCUAUGAACAUUAUCAGCCUCAGAAAGCUCUUAUUUUGGCCCUGUAAAAGAUUAUUUUCAAGAUUUGUGAUGAAAAGGAGAAAAAAGGAGGAUUUUCAAGAUUGUCCAAGAUUUUCAAGAAAAGCAAAAACUUCCUGUCUCAUGAAGACUUGAAUAACCUCUGUAACUACUUGUGUGGCUAAUUAAUAAAUGUGUACCAAAC